GGCGUAUUCAGGAUAACAAUAAGC
This 24-nucleotide non-coding RNA is filed under the name Arabidopsis thaliana (thale cress). Lineage: Eukaryota; Viridiplantae; Streptophyta; Magnoliopsida; Brassicales; Brassicaceae. The record is from RNAcentral.